Molecule: ribosomal RNA, 446 nt
Filed under: uncultured bacterium
Lineage: Bacteria
Description: SSU rRNA
Rfam family: Bacterial small subunit ribosomal RNA
Source: RNAcentral
AGAGCGAACGCUGGCGGCAGGCUUAACACAUGCAAGUCGAGCGGGCGUAGCAAUACGUCAGCGGCAGACGGGUGAGUAACGCGUGGGAACAUACCUUUUGGUUCGGAACAACACAGGGAAACUUGUGCUAAUACCGGAUAAGCCCUUACGGGGAAAGAUUUAUCGCCGAAAGAUUGGCCCGCGUCUGAUUAGCUAGUUGGUGAGGUAACGGCUCACCAAGGCGACGAUCAGUAGCUGGUCUGAGAGGAUGAUCAGCCACAUUGGGACUGAGACACGGCCCAAACUCCUACGGGAGGCAGCAGUGGGAAUAUUGGACAAUGGGCGCAAGCCUGAUCCAGCCAUGCCGCGUGAGUGAUGAAGGCCCUAGGGUUGUAAAGCUCUUUGUGCGGGAAGAUAAUGACGGUACCGCAAGAAUAAGCCCCGGCUAAACUUCGCGCCAGCAGCGC